RNAcentral lists this microRNA precursor (71 nucleotides) under Pelobates cultripes (western spadefoot toad). The record is from RNAcentral. Lineage: Eukaryota; Metazoa; Chordata; Amphibia; Anura; Pelobatidae.
GGUAACGAGCUGAGAUUAGGAGCACUCUCUUAAAUUGAGUGCUCCUAAUCUCAGCUCGUUAGCUGUAUACA